GACGAACGCUGGCGGCGUGCUUAACACAUGCAAGUCGAACGGAAAGGCCCUGCUUUUGUGGGGUGCUCGAGUGGCGAACGGGUGAGUAACACGUGAGUAACCUGCCCUUGACUUUGGGAUAACUUCAGGAAACUGGGGCUAAUACCGGAUAGGAGCUCCUGCUGCAUGGUGGGGGUUGGAAAGUUUCGGCGGUUGGGGAUGGACUCGCGGCUUAUCAGCUUGUUGGUGGGGUAGUGGCUUACCAAGGCUUUGACGGGUAGCCGGCCUGAGAGGGUGACCGGCCACAUUGGGACUGAGAUACGGCCCAGACUCCUACGGGAGGCAGCAGUGGGGAAUAUUGCCCAAUGGGCGGAAGCCUGAUGCGGAAACGCCGCGUGCGGGAUGACGGCCUUCGGGUUGUAAACCGCUUUCGCCUGUGACGAAGCGUGAGUGACGGUAAUGGGUAAAGAAGCACCGGCUAACUACGUG
RNAcentral lists this ribosomal RNA (468 nucleotides) under uncultured bacterium. Its description in RNAcentral is "partial 16S ribosomal RNA". It matches the Rfam family "Bacterial small subunit ribosomal RNA", at positions 28 to 507 of the family's 1533-position model. The record is from RNAcentral.